This 274-nucleotide ribosomal RNA is filed under the name uncultured bacterium. RNAcentral's name for it is "partial 16S ribosomal RNA". It matches the Rfam family "Bacterial small subunit ribosomal RNA", at positions 523 to 796 of the family's 1533-position model. The record is from RNAcentral.
AUACGGAGGGUGCAAGCGUUACUCGGAAUCACUGGGCGUAAAGCGCGCGCAGGCGGCUAUUUAAGUUGGAUGUGAAAGCCUACGGCUCAACCGUAGAACUGCAUCCAAAACUAUUUAGCUAGAGUGUGGGAGAGGAAGAUGGAAUUAGUUGUGUAGGGGUAAAAUCCGUAGAGAUAACUAGGAAUACCAAAAGCGAAGGCAAUCUUCUGGAACACUACUGACGCUGAGGCGCGAAAGCGUGGGGAGCAAACGGGAUUAGAAACCAUAGUAGUCC